CACGCAACCAAACCAAGAACUGCAGUUUCUCGUGUAAGUGGUGGUGCGAACAGCAAGGGAAUCUCAUCGCCUUUGGGGGGCUGUGCUGUGCCCCUCAGAGUGAAUGUGGAGGUUCUACACCC
Molecule: small nucleolar RNA, 122 nt
Filed under: Dasypus novemcinctus (nine-banded armadillo)
Lineage: Eukaryota; Metazoa; Chordata; Mammalia; Cingulata; Dasypodidae
Description: Small nucleolar RNA SNORA68 (ENSDNOG00000048902.1)
Rfam family: Small nucleolar RNA SNORA68
About the family: U68 is a member of the H/ACA class of small nucleolar RNAs (snoRNAs) which act as guides in the the modification of uridines to pseudouridines.
Source: RNAcentral